This 231-nucleotide long non-coding RNA is filed under the name Erythranthe guttata (spotted monkey flower). Its description in RNAcentral is "long non-coding RNA (EGUT_LNC003261)". The record is from RNAcentral. Lineage: Eukaryota; Viridiplantae; Streptophyta; Magnoliopsida; Lamiales; Phrymaceae.
UUUCGUAAAUACCUGAAAAUAACAAUAAAAAAACCCCAAAAACAGCUAAAAAAUUCGGCAAUCAUAACCACUUGUUUUUGUAAAUUAUAUUUAAGGAAAAUGCCAAAAAAGCAAAACCUUGUUGAACAGGAACAACUCAUACUAUGGGGGAUCAAAGAUUCCCUCGACCUCAGAUUUUCCCUGGCAUGGAAAAAGGUCGUCGACGAAAACAAGAUCCAAUUUUUGGAGAAC